RNAcentral lists this ribosomal RNA (66 nucleotides) under Entamoeba histolytica. Its description in RNAcentral is "partial small subunit ribosomal RNA". The record is from RNAcentral. Lineage: Eukaryota; Evosea; Mastigamoebida; Endamoebidae.
CCUUCCUAGUGAGUUAGGUGCCCGACAAUUGUAGAACACACAGUGUUUAAAAGUAAAAAAAAGAGC